AAAUGGGUUAGUACUCCUAAGGAGUAUGUACUCCUACCCAGGUGUCCUCGGUUAAUUUGUUUUGUGUUUAUUUUCAGUGACAAGAUAAUGCAUGCAAAAUAAGAAAAUAGGUAGUUUGUUUCCAGAUUUUCAGGUUAGUUAUUCUGUUCGGACGUCUCUUUUCAUUAGCACAUUGGUACGUCAUAUCCAUCUCCCUUUCUUUCUCAACAGAAAAAAAUAAUCCAUCUCUUCUUCCCCUACCGGCGGCGACGAAGCACGGUGAUCUGGGUGACACGACGCGGGAUGGAGAUCGGUAGCUGGUCACAGACGGACAUGAUGACGCGCUCUUCUAAUCCUCCCAUCAACGACCCACCGAAGCUUCAAUUCAAAAUAUACCAGCACAUAUAUGCUACGGCGGCACGAGCAUCCAUCGGCAGACGGUUCCACAAGCGGGCACCCACCAGCAUCGAGGCGUGCCAUGGCUGCAACUACCAUGUUACGGCGGUCUUGGUGGCAUCCAUGAUGGUGGCAGGUGGCCAUGAAUCCUUGAGACAUACUCCUUUAAGAUGAGAUUAAUUACGGCGAGUGUACGAGAUAUACAUGAUACAUAAUCCCACCUUGUGUGUUGAUCUCUUUUCUUUGAGAUCUCUUUCUCUUUAGAUUUAAGUUUUUUUUAUUGCAUGGUUGAGAUUUGAAUUCUUCCACGUUCAAAUGAUAAUGUGUGUGCAUGUGUACUUCUUUACUGUACUAGUAUACUCUCUUUUUUAUUAUCAUGUAUC
RNAcentral lists this long non-coding RNA (758 nucleotides) under Hordeum vulgare. Its description in RNAcentral is "long non-coding RNA (HVUL_LNC004532)". Lineage: Eukaryota; Viridiplantae; Streptophyta; Magnoliopsida; Poales; Poaceae. The record is from RNAcentral.